ACUCACGCGGGAAUCUUACCGGGUCCGGACACACUGAGGAUUGACAGACAAAUACACACACUACGGUGUGUGCAUGAAAUAUGCUAGUUCUUUCAUGAUUAUGUGAUAGGUGGUGCAUGGCCGUUCUUAGUUCGUGGAGUGAUCUGUCUGCUUAAUUGCGUUUCACUAAAGGCACAUACACAUAAUAUUGAUGUGUUGUGUGUAUAAUUUAUCAUUAUACGCAUACACACAUAUUAUAUUGUGCUUUGAAAGCAACGAACGUGACCGCAACCUCUUGUUGCCUGUAUAUAUGUGUAUUUUAUACACACCACAGGCUAUUAUAAACUAGAGGGACCGCUGUUACUUUCUUUUAAACCAGAGGAAGGUUGCGGCAAUAACAGGUCUGUGAUGCCCUUAGAUGUUCCGGGCUGCACACGUGCUACAAUGAUCAUUGCAGUGCGCAUCUCAUUUUGUUAUACACUGCUUGUGCGUAUGUGCAUCACAUAUAUUUAUAUGUGUGUGUAUGUAUUGCACGCAGUAAAGCCUACUUCGAAAGUUGUGGGUAAUCAAUUUGAAGUAAUGAUUUCUCCAAAUAUAUACUGCACACUCAUAUACAGUAUCUUAUGUCCACGAAUUUGUAAUUCAUUACAUUUUUGUGUGUGCAUUCGAUGCUCGUAUGUGCAAUUGUCAAUUCAUGGUGGGGACAGACCAUUGUUAAUUGUUGGUCUCGGUCUUAACUAGGAAUGCCUUGUACGGGUCUUUGGUUCAACAAACCACCCG
This 759-nucleotide ribosomal RNA is filed under the name Haynesina sp. S16. RNAcentral describes it as "SSU rRNA". It matches the Rfam family "Eukaryotic small subunit ribosomal RNA", at positions 1198 to 1642 of the family's 1831-position model. The record is from RNAcentral. Lineage: Eukaryota; Foraminifera; Rotaliida; Nonionidae.